RNAcentral lists this ribosomal RNA (253 nucleotides) under uncultured bacterium. RNAcentral's name for it is "partial 16S ribosomal RNA". It matches the Rfam family "Bacterial small subunit ribosomal RNA", at positions 524 to 776 of the family's 1533-position model. The record is from RNAcentral.
UACGGGGGGGGCAAGCGUUGUUCGGAAUUACUGGGCGUAAAGGGCUCGUAGGUGGCCAACUAAGUCGGACGUGAAAUCCCUCGGCUUAACCGGGGAACUGCGUCCGAUACUGGUUGGCUUGAGUUUGGGAGAGGGAUGCGGAAUUCCAGGUGUAGCGGUGAAAUGCGUAGAUAUCUGGAGGAACACCGGUGGCGAAGGCGGGUCUCUGGACAGUUCCUGACGCUGAGGCACGAAGGUCAGGGGAGCAAACGGG